CCCUUAGAUGUUCUGGGCCGCACGCGCGCUACACUGACACACUCAGCGAGUCACCUGAUCUGAGAAGACCGGGCAAUCAUGUGAGCGUGUGUCGUGAUGGGGAUAGAAUAUUGUAAUUAUUACUCUUCAACGAGGAAUUCCUAGUAAGCGCGAGUCAGCAGCUCGCGCUGAUUACGUCCCUGCCCUUUGUACACACCGCCUGUCGCUCCUACCGAGGGGGUGAUCCGGUGAAUGAUUCGGACUUUGGCAUUGCUAUGUUUCAUAGCAUUGCUGGGGGAAGUCUUGUGAACCUUAUCACUUGGAGGAAGGAGAAGUCGUAACA
Molecule: ribosomal RNA, 322 nt
Filed under: uncultured eukaryote
Lineage: Eukaryota
Description: partial 18S ribosomal RNA
Rfam family: Eukaryotic small subunit ribosomal RNA
Source: RNAcentral